GUCUUUUUGAAUUAAAUUUAAAGUCUAACCUGCCCACUGAAAUUUUAAAUGGCCGCAGUAUUUUAACUGUGCAAAGGUAGCAUAAUCAUUAGUCUUUUAAUUGAAGGCUGGAAUGAAUGGUUGGACGAAAUAUUAACUGUUUCAUUUAAAUUUUUAGUAGAAUUUUAUUUUUUAGUUAAAAAGCUAAAAUUUAUUUAAAAGACGAGAAGACCCUAUAAAUCUUUAUAUUUUGUUUAUUUUAAUUAUAAAGAUUAUUUUUAUUAUAAUAAAUUAAAAUAUUUUAUUGGGGUGAUAUUAAAAUUUAAAAAACUUUUAAUUUUUAAAGCCAUUAAUAUAUGUAUAAUUGAUCCAUUAAUAAUGAUUAAAAAUUUAAGUUACUUUAGGGAUAACAGCGUAAUUUUUUUGGAGAGUUCAUAUCGAUAAAAAAGAUUGCGACCUCGAUGUUGGAUUAAGAUAUAAUUUUGGGUGUAGCCGUUCAAAUUUUAAGUCUGUUCGACUUUUAAAUUCUU
Molecule: ribosomal RNA, 509 nt
Filed under: Scaptomyza flava
Lineage: Eukaryota; Metazoa; Arthropoda; Insecta; Diptera; Drosophilidae
Description: partial 16S ribosomal RNA
Rfam family: Bacterial large subunit ribosomal RNA
Source: RNAcentral